GAUGAACGCUGGCGGCGUGCCUAAUACAUGCAAGUCGAGCGAACGGACGAGAAGCUUGCUUCUCUGAUGUUAGCGGCGGACGGGUGAGUAACACGUGGAUAACCUACCUAUAAGACUGGGAUAACUUCGGGAAACCGGAGCUAAUACCGGAUAAUAUUUUGAACCGCAUGGUUCAAAAGUGAAAGACGGUCUUGCUGUCACUUAUAGAUGGAUCCGCGCUGCAUUAGCUAGUUGGUAAGGUAACGGCUUACCAAGGCAACGAUGCAUAGCCGACCUGAGAGGGUGAUCUGCCACACUGGAACUGAGACACGGUCCAGACUCCUACGGGAGGCAGCAGUAGGGAAUCUUCCGCAAUGGGCGAAAGCCUGACGGAGCAACGCCGCGUGAGUGAUGAAGGUCUUCGGAUCGUAAAACUCUGUUAUUAGGGAAGAACAUAUGUGUAAGUAACUGUGCACAUCUUGACGGUUCCUAAUCAGAAAGCCACGGCUAACUACGUG
RNAcentral lists this ribosomal RNA (497 nucleotides) under uncultured bacterium. Its description in RNAcentral is "partial 16S ribosomal RNA". It matches the Rfam family "Bacterial small subunit ribosomal RNA", at positions 28 to 507 of the family's 1533-position model. The record is from RNAcentral.